UUGAUUUCUUCUCUUCUGUUUUGUGGGCUUCAAGUCAGUUGCUUCUGUUUGAAGACAAUCUCUUGGACACAACUCAGUGAGGUGGUGAAGUCGUGCUGCAGCUCUAGCUGGUAAAAAUGAAUCUGUUUCUCUGUGGACUGAACCAACCUGAGGGAUCUUUGCUGUUAAAACGUUCCCCUCUGACCCCUCCGACCCCUCACCGGCCCUCAUCCUGGCUGGCCGCUCCUCCUCAGAGCCGGGCUGAGGUGUGUUUUCCGAGCCGACCUGAACAGUUUGAACAUUGUGCUCUGAGUGGAUUGGGUUCCUGUCAGGGCUGAGCGUUUGGACAUUGAUAAAUUUCCUCCUGUGUGGGAUCGAUAACUCUCACCUCUCAGCCCAGGGCUCCUUCAGAGUGGGACGUCAUAAUUACUCUGUCAAAGUGAAUGCCUGUCUGUGUUAAGACUGACGACUGCGGUGUUAGUGUGUGUGUGUGUGUGAGAAAGAAUGAUAUAGGGUCAUUCACUUUGUGUGCAAAGCAGAAAGAAGCGUUUUUAUGGUAUUUUAUGUUUCAGGAUGUCUGCAUGAAGAUUUAUGGAUUAUGUUUCUACAUGUGGGCUUAAAAGGUUGUGUGCAUAUGUUUGUGUUUGUGUACGUGUGUGGUUGUGUUCCUGUAUGUUUGUGUGGGCCCAGGUGAUGCUUUGUUGGUUGAGCAGGACUUGAGACUGGCAGUGAUUGACAGCUGGGCAGCCCGCCUCCUCCUUUCUCCUCCCACGGCGCUUUUUGAUGCCUGUCACAUUGGCCAAUCAGCGGAGUGAUCUGACAGCUGUCAUGACAACAAAAUAAACACACACUCAAACACACACACACAUACACAGAAAAAAACACACGCAUACAUGUACACAGACCUAAUUCCUAAACAGCAGACCCAAAUGGCAAACCUACUUAGCUGCACUCUAAACCCUCCUACAAUUUUCAAAUUGUUAAGCAGCAACAAUUAAGCUGAAAAACAAACUUAUUUUGUAAGAUUAUCCUUUUUUUUUGACAAAAAUCCAAAUCAACAAAUUUAUAUUGUUGAAAAAGACCAAAAUACAUAUCAAAACCCAAACUUUACCGAGUGUAGUUGUGCUUAGCAGUCAAAAAUCUCAUGGUACUUAACUCUCCUGUUAUGUUGUGGGUCAAAUUGACCCUU
Notolabrus celidotus (New Zealand spotty) is the source of this 1168-nucleotide long non-coding RNA. RefSeq lists it as uncharacterized. NCBI's taxonomy places the organism in Eukaryota, Metazoa, Chordata, Actinopteri, Labriformes, Labridae. The record is from RefSeq and is a predicted model, not a curated record. The transcript is spliced from 3 exons.